RNAcentral lists this ribosomal RNA (550 nucleotides) under uncultured bacterium. RNAcentral's name for it is "bacterial SSU rRNA". It matches the Rfam family "Bacterial small subunit ribosomal RNA", at positions 355 to 896 of the family's 1533-position model. The record is from RNAcentral.
UGGGGAAUCUUCCGCAAUGGACGAAAGUCUGACGGAGCAACGCCGCGUGAGUGAUGACGGCCUUCGGGUUGUAAAGCUCUGUUAAUCGGGACGAAUGGUUCUUGUGCAAAUAGUGCGAGGAUUUGACGGUACCGGAAUAGAAAGCCACGGCUAACUACGUGCCAGCAGCCGCGGUAAUACGUAGGUGGCAAGCGUUGUCCGGAAUUAUUGGGCGUAAAGCGCGCGCAGGCGGAUUGGUCAGUCUGUCUUAAAAGUUCGGGGCUUAACCCCGUGAUGGGAUGGAAACUGCCAAUCUAGAGUAUCGGAGAGGAAAGUGGAAUUCCUAGUGUAGCGGUGAAAUGCGUAGAUAUUAGGAAGAACACCAGUGGCGAAGGCGACUUUCUGGACGAAAACUGACGCUGAGGCGCGAAAGCCAGGGGAGCGAACGGGGUUAGAUACCCCGGUAGUCCUGGCCGUAAACGAUGGGUACUAGGUGUAGGAGGUAUCGACCCCUUCUGUGCCGGAGUUAACGCAAUAAGUACCCCGCCUGGGGAGUACGACCGCAAGGUUG